This is a long non-coding RNA of Rhea pennata, 528 nucleotides long. RefSeq lists it as uncharacterized. The record is from RefSeq and is a predicted model, not a curated record. The transcript is spliced from 4 exons. NCBI's taxonomy places the organism in Eukaryota, Metazoa, Chordata, Aves, Rheiformes, Rheidae.
AGACACUGUGACUUUGGGUUUGCAGACACUAAUAGCUCUGCAGGGAGAGUACUUGAGAUUCUGCUUAUAUAAGGUGCUUGAGAGUAUCUGUGAGGUUUCAGUUAUCUACUUGCUUUGCCAGAGAACUGACCUAAAAAAAUGAAGGAGUAGGUCCUCCUAGUCAAAGCAUCAGAUUCUCUGAAAUGACAUCUGUGAAAAGGAUCUUGAAGGAAGGGAAAAUAGAAAUGAAGUAACCUGCAAUAGGUUACAAAAGAAGUCAGACUUCAGAGCCCUGGAUCAGACUGUUCAGAGACAGGGGACACAAUGCUGGGCCUUGCCUGCUCUGCUCUUUUGUCUCAGAGUGUUGUCAAGGCUAUUUGUCAAUGUUAAGGCCACAUCAUCCUCUGGUCCUGCUUAGAAGGAGAGUCAACUGGCUUUCUGAGAACCACCCUGCAAGUUUCAGAAACUUUGUAAGCCUUGUUCUGCCGUGCUGCCUACUACUCUAUAUACACAUAUUGCCAGAAGACUUUUGAAGUAUAAGUGCAUCCA